AUUCCCUUAGUACAGCCAGUACAGGUGACUUCCAAUCAUCCGACCUUGGUGAAACCCCAAGAGGGAAUA
This 69-nucleotide transfer RNA is filed under the name Odorrana cf. chapaensis AMNH 163775. RNAcentral describes it as "tRNA-Gly". Lineage: Eukaryota; Metazoa; Chordata; Amphibia; Anura; Ranidae. RNAcentral also lists the same sequence under 1 other name. The record is from RNAcentral.